RNAcentral lists this ribosomal RNA (443 nucleotides) under uncultured bacterium. RNAcentral's name for it is "partial 16S ribosomal RNA". It matches the Rfam family "Bacterial small subunit ribosomal RNA", at positions 338 to 795 of the family's 1533-position model. The record is from RNAcentral.
CCUACGGGAGGCAGCAGUGGGGAAUAUUGGGCAAUGGAGGCAACUCUGAUCCAGCAACGCCGCGUGAAUGAUGAAGGUCUUCGGAUUGGAAAGUUCUGGGAUGGGGGAUGAACACAAUGACGGUACCCCAAUAGCAAGCCACGGCUAACUACGUGCCAGCAGCCGCGGUAAUACGUAGGUGGCAAGCGUUAUCCGGAAUGACUGGGCGUAAGGGGUGCGUAGGGGGUUUAGUAAGUUGGCGGUGUAAUUCCGGGGCUCAACCUCGGCGCUACCGCCAAAACUAUUAGACUAGAGUGCAGGAGGGGUAAGUGGAAUUCCUAGUGUAGCAGUGGAAUGCGUAGAUAUUAGGAGGAACAUCAGGGGCGAAGGCGACUUCCUGGACUGUAACUGACACUGAGGCACGAAGGCGAGGGGAGCAAACAGGAUUAGAUACCCCUGUAGUC